Molecule: ribosomal RNA, 253 nt
Filed under: uncultured bacterium
Lineage: Bacteria
Description: partial 16S ribosomal RNA
Rfam family: Bacterial small subunit ribosomal RNA
Source: RNAcentral
UACGUAGGUGGCAAGCGUUGUUCGGAAUUAUUGGGCGCAAAGGGCGCGUAGGCGGUUUGUUAAGUCGGUCGUGAAAGCCCGGGGCUCAACCCCGGAGGGUCGACCGAUACUGGCAGACUAGAGUACAGAAGAGGUAACUGGAAUUCCCGGUGUAGCGGUGAAAUGCGUAGAUAUUCGCAAGAACACCAGUGGCGAAGGCGGCUAACUGGUCCGGUUCUGACGCUGAGGCGCGAAAGCGUGGGGAGCAAACAGG